CCUACGGGCGGCUGCAGUGGGGAAUAUUGGACAAUUGGCGAAAGCCUGAUCCAGCCAUGCCGCGUGUGUGAAGAAGGCCUUCGGGUUGUAAAGCACUUUCAGUGGGGAAGAAAGCCUUGGGGCUAAUACCCUCGAGGAAGGACAUCACCCACAGAAGAAGCACCGGCUAACUCCGUGCCAGCAGCCGCGGUAAUACGGAGGGUGCGAGCGUUAAUCGGAAUUACUGGGCGUAAAGCGCGCGUAGGCGGUCUGAUAAGCCGGUUGUGAAAGCCCCGGGCUCAACCUGGGAACUGCAUCCGGAACUGUCAGGCUAGAGUGCAGGAGAGGAAGGUAGAAUUCCCGGUGUAGCGGUGAAAUGCGUAGAGAUCUGGAGGAAUACCAGUGGCGAAGGCGGCCUUCUGGACUGACACUGACGCUGAGGUGCGAAAGCGUGGGUAGCAAACAGGAUUAGAUACCCUAGUAGUC
This 465-nucleotide ribosomal RNA is filed under the name Vreelandella stevensii. Its description in RNAcentral is "partial 16S ribosomal RNA". It matches the Rfam family "Bacterial small subunit ribosomal RNA", at positions 338 to 795 of the family's 1533-position model. Lineage: Bacteria; Pseudomonadati; Pseudomonadota; Gammaproteobacteria; Oceanospirillales; Halomonadaceae. The record is from RNAcentral.